AUCCUUCAGAUUCCUUACCUCUCAGAUCUCAUAUUGAUCCGAGUAGCUAGAAAAGGGAGGAAAAAUGAAACUGAAGUGGACUUGGAGUCUUCAGGGAAGUGCAAAUUCACUUCGAAUAUAU
Molecule: small nucleolar RNA, 121 nt
Filed under: Echinops telfairi (small Madagascar hedgehog)
Lineage: Eukaryota; Metazoa; Chordata; Mammalia; Afrosoricida; Tenrecidae
Description: Small nucleolar RNA SNORA61 (ENSETEG00000026014.1)
Source: RNAcentral